This 499-nucleotide ribosomal RNA is filed under the name uncultured bacterium. Its description in RNAcentral is "partial 16S ribosomal RNA". It matches the Rfam family "Bacterial small subunit ribosomal RNA", at positions 899 to 1397 of the family's 1533-position model. The record is from RNAcentral.
ACUCAAAUGAAUUGACGGGGGCCCGCACAAGCGGUGGAUUAUGUGGUUUAAUUCGAAGCAACGCGAAAAACCUUACCUGGGCUUGAACUCCUUCAGACUUACCAGAAACGGUUUGGUGCUCGCAAGAGAAUGAAGAGAGAGGUGCUGCAUGGCUGUCGUCAGCUCGUGUUGUGAAAUGUUGGGUUAAGUCUCGCAACGAGCGCAACCCCUAUGAUUAGUUGCCAGCAUUAAGUUGGGCACUCUAAUCAGACUGCCUGGGUUAACCAGGAGGAAGGUGGGGAUGACGUCAAGUCCUCAUGGCCCUUAUGUCCAGGGCUACACACGUAAUACAAUGGCGCAUACAAAGGGAUGCGAACCCGCGAGGGGGAGCCAAUCUCAAAAAGUGCGUCUCAGUCCGGAUUGAAGUCUGCAACUCGACUUCAUGAAGUUGGAAUCGCUAGUAAUCGCGGAUCAGCACGCCGCGGUGAAUACGUUCCCGGGCCUUGCACACACCGCCCGU